GGGCCCGCACAAGCGGUGGAGCAUGUGGUUUAAUUCGAUGAUACGCGAGGAACCUUACCAGGGCUUAAAUGUAGUCUGACAGGGGUGGAAACACCCCCUCCUUCGGGCAGAUUACAAGGUGCUGCAUGGUUGUCGUCAGCUCGUGCCGUGAGGUGUCAGGUUAAGUCCUAUAACGAGCGCAACCCCCUGCCGUUAGUUGCCAGCAUGUAAUGAUGGGAACUCUAACGGGACUGCCGGUGCAAACCGCGAGGAAAGGUGGGGAUGACGUCAAAUCAUCACGGCCCUUACGUCCUGGGCUACACACGUGCUACAAUGGCCGGUACAGAGGGCAGCCACACGCAAGGUGGAGCGAAUCUUCAAAGCCGGUCUC
This 370-nucleotide ribosomal RNA is filed under the name uncultured bacterium. RNAcentral describes it as "bacterial SSU rRNA". It matches the Rfam family "Bacterial small subunit ribosomal RNA", at positions 917 to 1289 of the family's 1533-position model. The record is from RNAcentral.